RNAcentral lists this ribosomal RNA (700 nucleotides) under uncultured beta proteobacterium. RNAcentral's name for it is "bacterial SSU rRNA". It matches the Rfam family "Bacterial small subunit ribosomal RNA", at positions 56 to 751 of the family's 1533-position model. The record is from RNAcentral. Lineage: Bacteria; Pseudomonadati; Pseudomonadota; Betaproteobacteria.
UGCAAGUCGAACGGCAGCACGGGAGCAAUCCUGGUGGCGAGUGGCGAACGGGUGAGUAAUAUAUCGGAACGUGCCCAGUCGUGGGGGAUAACGUAGCGAAAGCUACGCUAAUACCGCAUACGAUCUAUGGAUGAAAGCGGGGGAUCGCAAGACCUCGCGCGAUUGGAGUGGCCGAUAUCAGAUUAGGUAGUUGGUGAGGUAAAGGCUCACCAAGCCGACGAUCUGUAGCUGGUCUGAGAGGACGACCAGCCACACUGGGACUGAGACACGGCCCAGACUCCUACGGGAGGCAGCAGUGGGGAAUUUUGGACAAUGGGCGCAAGCCUGAUCCAGCAAUGCCGCGUGCAGGAUGAAGGCCUUCGGGUUGUAAACUGCUUUUGUACGGAACGAAACGGCGAGCUCUAAUACAGUGUGCGAAUGAGGGUACCGUAAGAAUAAGCACCGGCUAACUACGUGCCAGCAGCCGCGGUAAUACGUAGGGUGCGAGCGUUAAUCGGAAUUACUGGGCGUAAAGCGUGCGCAGGCGGUGAUGUAAGACAGAUGUGAAAUCCCCGGGCUCAACCUGGGACCUGCAUUUGUGACUGCAUCGCUAGAGUACGGCAGAGGGGGAUGGAAUUCCGCGUGUAGCAGUGAAAUGCGUAGAUAUGCGGAGGAACACCGAUGGCGAAGGCAAUCCCCUGGGCCUGUACUGACGCUCAUG